GAUGGAGGUGGCCCAAAGACCCCCCCUCGUAACCUUCUGUAGGUGAACCUGCGGAAGGAUCAUUACCAGAAGUGGGGGUCCUUUUGGGCCCAACCUCCCCUCCGUGUCUAUUGUACCCUGUUGCUUCGGCGGGCCCGCCGCUUGUUGGCCGCCGGGGGGGCGCCUCUGCCCCCCGGGCCCGUGCCCGCCGGAGACCCCAACACGAACACUGUCUGAAAGCGUGCAGUCUGAGUUGAUUGAAUGCAAUCAGUUAAAACUUUCAACAAUGGAUCUCUUGGUUCCGGCAUCGAUGAAGAACGCAGCGAAAUGCGAUAACUAAUGUGAAUUGCAGAAUUCAGUGAAUCAUCGAGUCUUUGAACGCACAUUGCGCCCCCUGGUAUUCCGGGGGGCAUGCCUGUCCGAGCGUCAUUGCUGCCCUCAAGCCCGGCUUGUGUGUUGGGUCGCCGUCCCCCUCUCCGGGGGGACGGGCCCGAAAGGCAGCGGCGGCACCGCGUCCGAUCCUCGAGCGUAUGGGGCUUUGUCACAUGCUCUGUAGGAUUGGCCGGCGCCUGCCGACGUUUUCGCAACCAUUCUUUCCAGGUUGACCCUCCGGAUCCAGGUAGGGAUACCCGCUGUCCUUAAGCA
This 624-nucleotide ribosomal RNA is filed under the name Aspergillus awamori. Its description in RNAcentral is "eukaryotic LSU rRNA". The stretch from base 255 to 408 matches the Rfam family "5.8S ribosomal RNA". Lineage: Eukaryota; Fungi; Ascomycota; Eurotiomycetes; Eurotiales; Aspergillaceae. The record is from RNAcentral.